Molecule: long non-coding RNA, 355 nt
Filed under: Sorghum bicolor (sorghum)
Lineage: Eukaryota; Viridiplantae; Streptophyta; Magnoliopsida; Poales; Poaceae
Description: long non-coding RNA (SBIC_LNC006140)
Source: RNAcentral
UGGCCAGGGUGGGCGCCCAAGGGGGGAGGGCGGGCGCCCUGCCCCCGAGCCCGUCCGGUCUCCCGUUCGUUCCCGUGGCUUCUGGACUCUUCUAGAUUGAGGAAAAUUGCGCGGCACGUAAUUAUCUCGUUGUAAACAUGACAUGUGGGCCUUCUCUCCAUAUUCUCUGAUAACCCCCUGCAGAAAUAGAUAAACACCAAAGCUCGUGGAAGAUAAAACCCUAAUUCUAGAUGUUUGGUGCAUAUUGAUCCUUUUCCAUGUUUAUUUGAUUGUUAAUUUUAGUACUUAAGGACCGUCAACAAUGUGUACGAGCCCAUGCACAAUCAAAAAUCAAUUAUUUUCCUUUGUGUGGCCA